This 394-nucleotide ribosomal RNA is filed under the name uncultured bacterium. RNAcentral's name for it is "partial 16S ribosomal RNA". It matches the Rfam family "Bacterial small subunit ribosomal RNA", at positions 523 to 918 of the family's 1533-position model. The record is from RNAcentral.
AUACGUAGGGGGCUAGCGUUAUCCGGAAUUACUGGGCGUAAAGGGUGCGUAGGUGGUUUCUUAAGUCAGAAGUGAAAGGCUACGGCUCAACCGUAGUAAGCUUUUGAAACUAAGAGACUUGAGUGCAGGAGAGGAGAGUAGAAUUCCUAGUGUAGCGGUGAAAUGCGUAGAUAUUAGGAGGAAUACCAGUUGCGAAGGCGGCUCUCUGGACUGUAACUGACACUGAGGCACGAAAGCGUGGGGAGCAAACAGGAUUAGAUACCCCGGUAGUCCACGCCGUAAACGAUGAGUACUAGCUGUCGGGGGUUACCCCCCUCGGUGGCGCAGCUAACGCAUUAAGUACUCCGCCUGGGAAGUACGCUCGAAAGAGUGAAACUCAAAUGAAUUGACGGGG